RNAcentral lists this ribosomal RNA (905 nucleotides) under Coomansus batxatensis. RNAcentral describes it as "SSU rRNA". It matches the Rfam family "Eukaryotic small subunit ribosomal RNA", at positions 109 to 1023 of the family's 1831-position model. Lineage: Eukaryota; Metazoa; Nematoda; Enoplea; Mononchida; Mononchidae. The record is from RNAcentral.
GCUUUUUAUCAUUAAGUUAUCUACUUGGGUAACUGUGGCAAUUCUAGAGCUAAUACAUGCACGCAAGCUCGGACCUUAUGGGAAGAGCGCAUUUAUUAGACCAAAACCAAUCAAGCUUCGGUUUGUGUUUUGGUGACUCUGAAUAACUAAGUUGAUCGCACAGUCUUAGUACUGGCGACGUAUUUUUCAAAUGUCUGCCUUAUCAACUUUCGAUGGUAGGUUAUACGCCUACCAUGGUUAUAACGGGUAACGGAGAAUAAGGGUUCGACUCCGGAGAGGGAGCCUGAGAAAUGGCUACCACAUCCAAGGAAGGCAGCAGGCGCGCAAAUUACCCAAUCCCAGAACGGGGAGGUAGUGACGAAAAAUAACGAGGUAGUCCACUUUGUGGCCUGCCAUCGGAAUGGGUACAAUUUAAAUCUUUUAACGAGGAUCUAUUAGAGGGCAAGUCUGGUGCCAGCAGCCGCGGUAAUUCCAGCUCUAAUAGCGUAUAUUAAAGUUGUUGUGGUUAAAACGCCCGUAGUUGAAUCUUCGGUCUUGAAGCUCGGUAACUCGUAAGGGUUUAACUGAGUCUUCUGGCCUAAAUUUUAGUAUUCUCCUGAUGCUCUUUAUUGAGUGUCUUGAGUUGCUAGAACGUUUACUUUGAAAAAAUUAGAGUGCUAAAAGCAGGCUAUAUGCUUGAAUAAAGUGCAUGGAAUAAUGGAAUAGGACUUUAGUUUUAUUUUGUUGGUUUUCGAAAUUAAAGUAAUGAUUAAGAGGAACAGACGGGGGCAUUAGUAUUGUUGCGUUAGAGGUGAAAUUCUUGGAUCGCAGCAAGACUAACAACUGCGAAAGCAUUUGCCAAGAAUGUUUUCAUUAAUCAAGGACGAUAGUUAGAGGUUCGAAGGCGAUCAGAAAAACCGCCCAAA